UACAGAGGGUGCUAGCGUUGUUCGGAAUCAUUGGGCGUAAAGGGCUCGUAGGCGGUUUGUCGCGUCGGGAGUGAAAUCCACUGGCUUAACUGGUGGCUUGCUUUCGAUACGGGCAGACUGGAGGUAUGCAGGGGAGAACGGAAUUCCUGGUGUAGCGGUGAAAUGCGCAGAUAUCAGGAGGAACACCGGUGGCGAAGGCGGGACUCUGGGCCGAUACUGACGCUGAGGAGCGAAAGCGUGGGGGAGCGAACAGG
This 254-nucleotide ribosomal RNA is filed under the name uncultured bacterium. RNAcentral's name for it is "partial 16S ribosomal RNA". It matches the Rfam family "Bacterial small subunit ribosomal RNA", at positions 524 to 776 of the family's 1533-position model. The record is from RNAcentral.